This is a non-coding RNA of Vicugna pacos (alpaca), 212 nucleotides long. The record is from RefSeq and is a predicted model, not a curated record. Lineage: Eukaryota; Metazoa; Chordata; Mammalia; Artiodactyla; Camelidae.
ACCUGUGCUCUUUCGAUCUAGAAAACUGGAGCUUAGAGAUGGAAGUAACUGGGCCUAAGACUGAGUGUUAAUGAGCAAUCGGUUUUAUACAUAAACGUAGGGGAAAAACCUAAAUUAAGAUACAUCAGAGUGCUCCCAGUUGUUAUAUCUAGAUAGUAGAAUAAGUAGGGUUAUUUUUUCUUUUUGUUCAUCUAUUUUUUCUCUGAUUUGCC